This 60-nucleotide non-coding RNA is filed under the name Heyndrickxia ginsengihumi. RNAcentral's name for it is "Bacillus ginsengihumi Fluoride sequence". It matches the Rfam family "Fluoride riboswitch aptamer (crcB RNA motif)". The record is from Rfam by way of RNAcentral. Lineage: Bacteria; Bacillati; Bacillota; Bacilli; Caryophanales; Bacillaceae.
CAUAAUUGCGGCGAUGGAGUUCGCCUUUAACUGCUUUAAGCUGAUGACUCCUACCUUUAA